Mastomys coucha (southern multimammate mouse) is the source of this 72-nucleotide small nucleolar RNA. RefSeq annotates it as small nucleolar RNA SNORD113/SNORD114 family. The record is from RefSeq and is a predicted model, not a curated record. The transcript has a single exon. Lineage: Eukaryota; Metazoa; Chordata; Mammalia; Rodentia; Muridae.
UGGAUCAAUGAUGACUGUGGGUGCUGUAUGAGUCAUGGAUUGUGACUACAAGUCUUGGAGUCUGAGGUUCAC